AAUCGUUUAUUAAUUGUUAUUCUUUUAUUAAUUGUCAUUCUUUACUAUUUUAUUUCCUUCUUUUGUCAUUCAGAGCGAAGCGAAGAAUCUCUUUCCUUCUCCAAGUGAGAUUCCUCACGGUGUUCGGAAUGACAAACGCGGUUAUUGGUGUUCUUUGCGUUUACCCUUGCGUUCUUUGCGGUAAAGAAUAAACCGCAAGGUUCGCAAAGGGGUUCGCAAGGUUUCAUUCAGGCUUCCAGCCCUCCGCUGAGGGAUUGCCCUGUUUCCCCAACGCUGCGCAUUGGGCUGAAUUAACACGCCCUUUCAGGGCUCUUACAGCAGUCAGCCGUCAACUCUGCAUUCCCCCUUUGAAGGGGGGCUGGGGGGAUGUUCAUAUCAACGUCAUGACGGGCGAACACAGAGGUUCGCCCCUACGCGGCGUACCGAAAUGGGAAUGCGCCCAACCGCCCCCCACAACAACUCAAUACCUCAACAAUUCUCUUCACUUUUCACUAUUCGUUUCUCACUUUUCACUUCCCUUGUCAUUCAGAGCGAAGCGAAGAAUCUCUUUCCUUCUCCAAGUGAGAUUCCUCACGGUGUUCGGAAUGACAAAGAGGAGACGUUCGGAAUGACAAAGAGGAGGCAUUCAUAAUUCGUCAUUCUAAUAUGCAUUCAGCGAAUAAUCAAACAACUCAACAUGCAAACGCCCUUGGGACUUUUA
This 700-nucleotide small RNA is filed under the name Tannerella forsythia KS16. Its description in RNAcentral is "Acido-Lenti-1 RNA". The record is from RNAcentral. Lineage: Bacteria; Pseudomonadati; Bacteroidota; Bacteroidia; Bacteroidales; Tannerellaceae.